RNAcentral lists this unclassified non-coding RNA (847 nucleotides) under Mesorhizobium septentrionale. RNAcentral's name for it is "partial contains 16S-23S ribosomal RNA intergenic spacer, and 23S ribosomal RNA". The stretch from base 731 to 847 matches the Rfam family "Bacterial large subunit ribosomal RNA", at positions 1 to 117 of the family's 2925-position model. The record is from RNAcentral. Lineage: Bacteria; Pseudomonadati; Pseudomonadota; Alphaproteobacteria; Hyphomicrobiales; Phyllobacteriaceae.
UCCUUUCUAAGGAAGAACUCUAAUGGAAACGCUCACUCGUUGAGCCUCUGCCUUUCAGUUCUCUUGGAACAAGACGGAAGAGAGUCACUCUUACCGUCGUGCAUACCUUAAGCGGGUCUGCCGCCUUCGUUUCUCUUUCUUCGCGAAUGACUAACCUCCCUUUGGCUAUGCCCACAAGGCGUGCCUUGCCGGUGCAAAUGGUGCCAGCAGGGUUCGGUUUAGGGCUUGUAGCUCAGUUGGUUAGAGCGCGCGCUUGAUAAGCGUGAGGUCGGAGGUUCAAGUCCUCCCAGGCCCACCAUUUCCUCGACAAAAGGUAUCAGGGGCCGUAGCUCAGCUGGGAGAGCGCCUGCUUUGCAAGCAGGAUGUCGUCGGUUCGAUCCCGUCCGGCUCCACCAUCUUUCUUCUUCGGAAGGAAGGGUGUCGAGUAGAGAUGAGCGCCGAUCGGUCAGUCAUUCGUAUAAAGGUUUGCGGCGAGCAUCUGGCUCUCCGCCUGUUCUGUGUGACAUCGUAAAGAGAAGAUUUGUUCGAACUUCAUGAUCUGAAAGGUUCAUGAUUUGUCGCGGGAGACGCUCAAUCUCCCGCAUAUGAUGGGUUUGCCUAACCGCGCCCUCGAACCGAUCUCGAGAAGCUGGUCUUUUUGUGCCAAUUCCAUUGAAUUCAGGUUCUGCACAGGAUCUGGUUCGAGCGACAAUCCCUUCGGGAUUGCGCGAUGGGCAUUGGCAAUGAGAACGAUCAAGUGUCUUAAGGGCAAUUGGUGGAUGCCUUGGCAUGCACAGGCGAUGAAGGACGUGAUACGCUGCGAUAAGCUACGGGAGGUGCGAAUACCCUUUGAUCCGUAGAUUUCCGA